RNAcentral lists this ribosomal RNA (710 nucleotides) under uncultured bacterium. RNAcentral describes it as "bacterial SSU rRNA". It matches the Rfam family "Bacterial small subunit ribosomal RNA", at positions 8 to 736 of the family's 1533-position model. The record is from RNAcentral.
AGAGUUUGAUCCUGGCUCAGGACGAACGCUGGCGGCGUGCUUAACACAUGCAAGUCGAACGGUAAGGCCCUUCGGGGUACACGAGUGGCGAACGGGUGAGUAACACGUGGGUGAUCUGCCCCCUACUCUGGGAUAAGCCUGGGAAACUGGGUCUAAUACUGGAUAUGACCUUGAGCUUCAUGGUUCUUGGUGGAAAGUUUUUCGGUAGGGGAUGAGCCCGCGGCCUAUCAGCUUGUUGGUGGGGUAAUGGCCUACCAAGGCGACGACGGGUAGCCGGCCUGAGAGGGCGACCGGCCACACUGGGACUGAGACACGGCCCAGACUCCUACGGGAGGCAGCAGUGGGGAAUAUUGCACAAUGGGCGCAAGCCUGAUGCAGCGACGCCGCGUGGGGGAUGACGGCCUUCGGGUUGUAAACCCCUUUCAGUCGGGACGAAGAGCAAUUGACGGUACCGAUAGAAGAAGCACCGGCCAACUACGUGCCAGCAGCCGCGGUAAUACGUAGGGUGCGAGCGUUGUCCGGAAUUACUGGGCGUAAAGAGCUCGUAGGCGGCUUGUCGCGUUGUCCGUGAAAAUUUACAGCUCAACUGUGAACUUGCGGGCGAUACGGGCAGGCUAGAGUACUGCAGGGGAGACUGGAAUUCCUGGUGUAGCGGUGAAAUGCGCAGAUAUCAGGAGGAACACCGGUGGCGAAGGCGGGUCUCUGGGCAG